Molecule: ribosomal RNA, 468 nt
Filed under: uncultured bacterium
Lineage: Bacteria
Description: partial 16S ribosomal RNA
Rfam family: Bacterial small subunit ribosomal RNA
Source: RNAcentral
GACGAACGCUGGCGGCGUGCUUAACACAUGCAAGUCGAACGGAAAGGCCCUGCUUUUGUGGGGUGCUCGAGUGGCGAACGGGUGAGUAACACGUGAGUAACCUGCCCUUGACUUUGGGAUAACUUCAGGAAACUGGGGCUAAUACCGGAUAGGAGCUCCUGUUGCAUGGUGGGGGUUGGAAAGUUUCGGCGGUCGGGGAUGGACUCGCGGCUUAUCAGCUUGUUGGUGGGGUAGUGGCUUACCCAGGCUUUGACGGGUAGCCGGCAUGGGAGCGUGACCGGCCACAUUGGGACUGAGAUACGGCCCAGACUCCUACGUGAGGCAGCGGGGGGGAAUAUGGCACAGUGGGCGGAAGUCUGAGGCAGCAGCGCCGCGUGCGGGAAGACGGCCUGCGGGUUGUAAACCGCUUUCGCCUGUGACGAAGCGUGAGUGACGGUAAUGGGUGAAGAAGCACCGGCUAACUACGUG